RNAcentral lists this ribosomal RNA (482 nucleotides) under uncultured bacterium. RNAcentral describes it as "partial 16S ribosomal RNA". It matches the Rfam family "Bacterial small subunit ribosomal RNA", at positions 30 to 506 of the family's 1533-position model. The record is from RNAcentral.
AUUGAACGCUGGCGGCAGGCCUAACACAUGCAAGUCGAGCGGAUGAAGGGAGCUUGCUCCUGGAUUCAGCGGCGGACGGGUGAGUAAUGCCUAGGAAUCUGCCUGCAGUGGGGGGUAAAGUCCGGAAAACGGCGCUAAUUCCCCCUACGUCCGGGGGGGGAAAGCAGGGGGUGUUUGGGACUCACCCUACUAUAUGAGCCUAGGUCGGGUUAGCUAGUUGGUGGGGUAAAGGCCUAGCAAAGCGACGAUCCGUAACUGGUCUGAGAGGAUGAUCAGGCACACUGGAACUGAGACACGGUCCAGACUCCUACGGGAGGCAGCAGUGGGGAAUAUUGGACGAUGGGCGAAAGCCUGAUCCAGCCAUGCAGCGUGUGUGAAGAAGGUCUUCGGAUUGUAAAGCACUUUAAGUUGGGAGGAAGGGCAGUAAGUUAAUACCUUGCUGUUUUGACGUUACCAACAGAAUAAGCACCGGCUAACUUCGU